This 370-nucleotide ribosomal RNA is filed under the name uncultured bacterium. RNAcentral's name for it is "bacterial SSU rRNA". It matches the Rfam family "Bacterial small subunit ribosomal RNA", at positions 29 to 429 of the family's 1533-position model. The record is from RNAcentral.
AACGAACGCUGGCGGCAGGCCUAACACAUGCAAGUCGAACGCUCCGCAAGGGGAGUGGCGCACGGGUGAGUAACACGUGGGAACCUACCUUCUGGUACGGAACAACCAAGGGAAACUUUGGCUAAGACCGUAUACGACCUCCGGGUGAAAGAUUGAUCGCCGGAAGAGGGGCCCGCGUCCGAUUAGGUAGUUGGUGAGGUAACGGCUCACCAAGCCUUCGAUCGGUAGCUGGUCUGAGAGGAUGACCAGCCACACUGGGACUGAGACACGGCCCAGACUCCUACGGGAGGCAGCAGUGGGGAAUAUUGGACAAUGGGCGCAAGCCUGAUCCAGCCAUGCCGCGUGGGUGAUGAAGGCCUUCGGUUGUAAG